RNAcentral lists this long non-coding RNA (359 nucleotides) under Musa acuminata (dwarf banana). RNAcentral's name for it is "long non-coding RNA (MACU_LNC001798)". The record is from RNAcentral. Lineage: Eukaryota; Viridiplantae; Streptophyta; Magnoliopsida; Zingiberales; Musaceae.
GAUGACUUCGCCUCGCCGGUCUCCUAUGCGAGACGCGGAGAAUUCGACCACGCCGCUGUCUCCGCCGGCAAAGACACCGUCGAGACCCCAAACUCCGGCGCGAGAAGACAGACCCGUGGCCUCCCCUCUCCGAUCGCUGGUGUCUUCGCCGGCGAAGACACCGUCGAGACCCCAAACCCCGGCGCGAGAAGACGGGCCCGUGGCCUACCCUCUCCGAUCGCCGCUGCGGCGCGCCGAGCUCCCGACCCCGCCGCGCACGCCCCCGGACGAACCAGCGCCGCCUCCGGCGGUCACGAUCGCGAACCGGCUGACCCGGGACGGCGUCUCCCCGGCCGAGAAGGAAAUUAGCGAGGGCGGCG